Molecule: ribosomal RNA, 449 nt
Filed under: uncultured bacterium
Lineage: Bacteria
Description: partial 16S ribosomal RNA
Rfam family: Bacterial small subunit ribosomal RNA
Source: RNAcentral
AACGAACGCUGGCGGCAUGCCUAACACAUGCAAGUCGAACGAGAUCUUCGGGUCUAGUGGCGCACGGGUGCGUAACGCGUGGGAAUCUGCCCUUUGGUUCGGAAUAACAGUUGGAAACGACUGCUAAUACCGGAUGAUGACGAAAGUCCAAAGAUUUAUCGCCAGAGGAUGAGCCCGCGUAGGAUUAGCUAGUUGGUGUGGUAAAGGCGCACCAAGGCGACGAUCCUUAGCUGGUCUGAGAGGAUGAUCAGCCACACUGGGACUGAGACACGGCCCAGACUCCUACGGGAGGCAGCAGUGGGGAAUAUUGGACAAUGGGCGAAAGCCUGAUCCAGCAAUGCCGCGUGAGUGAAGAAGGCCUUCGGGUUGUAAAGCUCUUUCAUGGGGGACGAUAAUGACGGUACCUCAAGAAGAAGCCUCGGCUAACUUCGUGCCAGCCGCCGCAGUAA